UGCAAGUCGAGCGGGGAAGAGUAGCUUGCUACUUUACCUAGCGGCGGACGGGUGAGUAAUGCUUAGGAAUCUGCCUAUUAGUGGGGGACAACAUCUCGAAAGGGAUGCUAAUACCGCAUACGUCCUACGGGAGAAAGCAGGGGACCUUCGGGCCUUGCGCUAAUAGAUGAGCCUAAGUCGGAUUAGCUAGUUGGUGGGGUAAAGGCCUACCAAGGCGACGAUCUGUAGCGGGUCUGAGAGGAUGAUCCGCCACACUGGGACUGAGACACGGCCCAGACUCCUACGGGAGGCAGCAGUGGGGAAUAUUGGACAAUGGGGGGAACCCUGAUCCAGCCAUGCCGCGUGUGUGAAGAAGGCCUUUUGGUUGUAAAGCACUUUAAGCGAGGAGGAGGCUACCGAGAUUAAUACUCUUGGAUAGUGGACGUUACUCGCAGAAUAAGCACCGGCUAACUCUGUGCCAGCAGCCGCGGUAAUACAGAGGGUGCAAGCGUUAAUCGGAUUUACUGGGCGUAAAGCGCGCGUAGGUGGCCAAUUAAGUCAAAUGUGAAAUCCCCGAGCUUAACUUGGGAAUUGCAUUCGAUACUGGUUGGCUAGAGUAUGGGAGAGGAUGGUAGAAUUCCAGGUGUAGCGGUGAAAUGCGUAGAGAUCUGGAGGAAUACCGAUGGCGAAGGCAGCCAUCUGGCCUAAUACUGACACUGAGGUGCGAAAGCAUGGGGAGCAAACAGGAUUAGAUACCCUGGUAGUCCAUGCCGUAAACGAUGUCUACUAG
RNAcentral lists this ribosomal RNA (769 nucleotides) under Acinetobacter sp. zgr32-11. RNAcentral describes it as "bacterial SSU rRNA". It matches the Rfam family "Bacterial small subunit ribosomal RNA", at positions 56 to 819 of the family's 1533-position model. Lineage: Bacteria; Pseudomonadati; Pseudomonadota; Gammaproteobacteria; Moraxellales; Moraxellaceae. The record is from RNAcentral.